This 1498-nucleotide ribosomal RNA is filed under the name uncultured Bordetella sp. Its description in RNAcentral is "partial 16S-23S ribosomal RNA intergenic spacer". It matches the Rfam family "Bacterial small subunit ribosomal RNA". Lineage: Bacteria; Pseudomonadati; Pseudomonadota; Betaproteobacteria; Burkholderiales; Alcaligenaceae. The record is from RNAcentral.
GGUUUGAUCAUGGCUCAGAUUGAACGCUGGCGGGAUGUUUACACAUGCAAGUCGAACGGCAGCACGGACUUCGGUCUGGUGGCGAGUGGCGAACGGGUGAGUAAUGUAUCGGAACGUGCCUAGUAGUGGGGGAUAGCUACGCGAAAGCGUAGCUAAUACGCAUACGGCCCUUCGGGGGAAAGCGGGGGACCUUCGGGCCUCGCACUAUUAGAGCGGCCGAUAUCGGAUUAGCUAGGUUGGUGGGGUAACGGCUCACCAUGACGAUCCGUAGCUGGUUUGAGAGGACGGACCAGCCACACUGGGACUGAGACACGGCCCAUAUCUACGGGAGGCAGCAGUGGGGAACGGACAAUGGGGAAACCCUGAUCCAGCCAUCCUCGCAAAAGGGAGGAAGGGCCUUCGGGUUGUAAAGCACUUUUGGCAGGAAAGAAAUGCACGGAUAAUACCCCGUGCAACUGACGGUACCUGCAGAAUAAGCACUGGCUAACUACGCGCCAGCAGCCGCGGUAAUGCUGCAGGGUGCAAGCGUUAAUCGUGGAAUUACUGGGCGUAAAGCGUGCGCAGGCGGUUCGGAAAGAAAGAUGUGAAAUCCCAGAGCUUAACUUUGAACUGCAUUUUUAACUACCGAGCUAGAGUGUGUCAGGAGGGAGGUGGAAUUCCGCGUGUAGCAGUGAAAUGCGUAGAUAUGCGGAGAACAACGAUGGCGAAGGGCAGCCUCCUGGGAUAACACUGACGCUCGCGCACGAAAGCGUGGGGACAAAACAGGAUUAGAUACCCUGGUAGUCCACGCCCUAAACGAUGUCAACUAUUGUUGGGGCCUUCGGGCUCCUGGUAGCGCAGCUAACGCGGUGAAGUUGACCGCCUGGGGAGUACGGUCGCAAGAUUAAAACUCAAAGGAAUUGAUGGGACCCGCACAAGCGGUGGAUGAUGUGGAUUAAUUCGAUGCAAACGCGAAAACCUUACCUACCCUUGACAUGUCUGGAAUCCCGAAGAGAUUUGGGAGUGCUCGCAAGAGAACCGAAAUCACAGGUGCUGCGGCGACAAAGUCAGUCAGCUCGUGUCGUGAGACGCUGGGUUAAGUCCCGCAACGAGCGCAACCUCCUUUGUCAUUAGUUGCUACGAAAAAAAAAAAGGGCACUCUAAUGACUGCCGGUGACAAACCGGAGGAAGGUGGGGAUGACGUCAAGUCCUCAUGGCCCUUAUGGGUAGGGCUUCUCACACGUCAUACAAUGGUCGGGACAGAGGGUCGCCAACCCGCGCAGGGAGCCAAUCCCAGAAACCCGGAUCGUAGUCCGGAUCGCAGUCUGCAACUUCGACUGCGUGAAGUCGAACCUGUGGUAAUCGCGGAUCAGCAUGUCGCGGUGAAUACGUUCCCGGGUCUUGUACACACCGCCCGUCACACAUGGAGUGGGUUUUACCAGAAGUAGUUAGCCUAACCGUAAGGAGGGCGAUUACCACGGUAGGAUUCAUGACUGGGGUGAAGUCGUAACAAGGCAAC